Schistosoma curassoni is the source of this 45-nucleotide non-coding RNA. Lineage: Eukaryota; Metazoa; Platyhelminthes; Trematoda; Strigeidida; Schistosomatidae. The record is from Rfam.
AUUCAGAUGACGAGUUCCAAAUAGGACGAAACUCACGUUCUGAAU